UACGAAGGGGGCUAGCGUUGUUCGGAAUUACUGGGCGUAAAGCGCACGUAGGCGGCCUGUUAAGUCGAACGUGAAAUCCCCGGGCUCAACCCGGGAACUGCGUCCGAUACUGGCAGGCUUGAAUCCGGGAGAGGGAUGCGGAAUUCCAGGUGUAGCGGUGAAAUUCGUAGAUAUUAGGAAGAACACCGGUGGCGAAGGCGGCCCACUGGAUCGGUACUGACGCUGAGGUGCGAAAGCGUGGGGAGCAAACAGG
Molecule: ribosomal RNA, 253 nt
Filed under: uncultured bacterium
Lineage: Bacteria
Description: partial 16S ribosomal RNA
Rfam family: Bacterial small subunit ribosomal RNA
Source: RNAcentral